Molecule: ribosomal RNA, 880 nt
Filed under: uncultured bacterium
Lineage: Bacteria
Description: bacterial SSU rRNA
Rfam family: Bacterial small subunit ribosomal RNA
Source: RNAcentral
CACUUCGGGUGUCGAGCGGCGGACGGCUGAGUAACAUGUAGGAACGUACCCCAAAGUGAGGCAUAAGCACCGGAAACGGUGUCUAAUACCGCAUGUGCUCUAUGGAGUAAAGCCUUCGGGCGCUUUGGGAACGGCCUGCACAUGAUUAGCUUGUUGGUGAGGUAAUGGCUCACCAAGGCGACGAUCAUUAGCUGGUCUGAGAGGAUGAUCAGCCAGACUGGGACUGAGACACGGCCCAGACUCCUACGGGAGGCAGCAGUAGGGAAUUUUCCACAAUGGGCGAAAGCCUGAUGGAGCAACGCCGCGUGCAGGAUGAACCCCUUCGGGGCGUAAACUGCUUUUAUAGGUGAAGAUUAUGACGGUAACUUAUGAAUAAGGAUCGGCUAACUCCGUGCCAGCAGCCGCGGUCAUACGGAGGGUCCAAGCGUUAUCCGGAAUUACUGGGCGUAAAGAGUUGCGUAGGCGGUUAAGUAAGCGAAUAGUGAAACUGUGUGGCUCAACCAUGCAUCCAUUAUUCGAACUGCUUUGACUAGAGAAUGGAAGAGGUCGCUGGAAUUCCUGGUGUAGGGGUAAAAUCCGUGGAUAUCAGGAGGAACACCGAUGGCGUAGGCAGGCGACUGGUCCAUUUCUGACGCUGAGGCACGAAAGCGUGGGGAGCGAUCGGGAUUAGAUACCCCGGUAGUCCACGCCGUAAACGAUGGAUGCUAGCUGUGUGGAGUAUCGACCCUCUGCGUAGCGAAGCUAACGCGUUAAGCAUCCCGCCUGUGGAGUACGAGCGCAAGCUUAAAACAUAAAGGAAUUGACGGGGACCCGCACAAGCGGUGGAGCGUGUUGUUUAAUUCGAUGGUAAGCGAAGAACCUUACCCAGGUUUGACAUCCU